AAAAUAUCUAUCCUCCCUCUAAGCCUAGGUAGAAAACUAAGUUAUAAGACAAGGAUGAACACGAUAUAUGGUACUUUUUAAAAUCUGGUUCCCAAAGAAAUAAAACAUUUUAAAAAGAAUUUUAAAAUAAUGUAUUUAGCUUAUGCUGAGUAUAUAUUAGUGAGCAACUAAUUUAAAAAUAUUUAAGGAAUAAUAGUCCCCUCUGUUAUAAUAAAUUACUAUUGACCUAAUUUAUUUAUUAAGCUUCUCUUCUUAUUUGGGUAAUUAAUUCUAAGAAUUAGAACUUGUUUACACUAGUAAAUAUACUUUUAUUAUUUUCUUACUUAAAUAAGUUUUAUCAAUUUUAAAUUAAAUAUAAACUAAAUAACUUGAGAUUCUCCAAACUGUUUAACAAAGACAUAGUAAGACUGUGUCUUAUGUAUCUGCCCAAUGAAUAAUUUUUUAUGGCUUUAAAGUAGCGCAAUAAUUAGUUUAUUAAUUGUAAACCUGUAUGAAGCUAGCAUUGGUUAAUCAUGUUUAUUCUUAUCUGUUGAAUCUUAGUUAUCAGUACAAACGCUGAUAUGCCCCCCGAAGACGAUAAGACCCUAAGACCUUCACCUUGUUUGGCUGGGAUAGCCUACUUAAUAUAAUAAAGAAACCUUAAUUAUUACGAACCAAUUAUUUUGCUAUACAUAGGUACCUUAGGGAUAACAGCGCGUAAUACUUUUAGAGCUCUUAUUUAAAAGAUAUUCGUGACCUCGAUGUUGAAUUAAGUAAUAUAGUGCUGCAGAAGGUGCUAUUUUAAGUCUGUUCGACU
RNAcentral lists this ribosomal RNA (796 nucleotides) under Lepeophtheirus salmonis (salmon louse). Its description in RNAcentral is "partial 16S ribosomal RNA". The record is from RNAcentral. Lineage: Eukaryota; Metazoa; Arthropoda; Copepoda; Siphonostomatoida; Caligidae.